Long non-coding RNA from Mesocricetus auratus (golden hamster), 3074 nucleotides. RefSeq lists it as uncharacterized. Lineage: Eukaryota; Metazoa; Chordata; Mammalia; Rodentia; Cricetidae. The record is from RefSeq and is a predicted model, not a curated record. The transcript is spliced from 3 exons.
CAAUACAAUGUAAAGUCAUGUGCUGACACUCUGGAAAUUUUCAGAAAAAUAUAGGAGGCAUGGAGCUUAAUAGUCAAGAACUUGAACUCUUGAAUAAUGAGUCCUUAGUUCUUGAACUACGGGUUUCAUCUCUGCCUGCACAAAGAAGACAGAGAUGGCAUGGCUGCAGGAACAAAAACAGAGACAGGAGAAUAAGGAUACACAAAGGAUCAAUACUAGCUUAGGUUAAAAUGCAGGUCUAAAAGGUGUCUAUGAGAGAAACCAGACCACAACAAUCAAAAUGUUGUAUGAAAUUCUCAAGGAAUUAAAAACAUAUUUUCAGUCAGCAACUUAUCACCUGAGAGUGUGUUCUUCAUUACGUUCCUUGUUUCCAAGCCUUGAGGCUCUGUACCCCAACCCAGAAAGAACUAGACUCUCUACAGCACAGGGAAAGAUAGAGUUUCUCUGCCUCUGGCAGCUCUCCUAGCACACAAGGCUGAUUUCUCGUGACAGCCAAGCAACUGCCAAGCCCAGAAUGAAACUGGCUGUUUGGAAAGUUUAGCUCCCUUUCUUCACUCUAUUUUCUCCCCUUGCUGCUGGCAGAAGCCCAGCCCUCCCUCCUUCUCUGGAGUCUCCCCACAACUCAUCUAAUUGGAAGGCUUCGGGAAGCCCCAUGGGGACAUCCUGCCCCUCCCCUGACUUUCUGAGCCUCUGUACAAGAAGUUUUGCAAAAAGAGGAAGCAGGAGCCUUGGGGCCUGCAGAGAAGGGGAGGCCUGUUGUGAAUCCCUUCUGCUUGGUACCAUGACAAAGAAAAAGGAGAGAAUGGAAGAGUACCAAGAUUCCAGGACCCUCGGAACCUUCCUUGGAGCUCCCUAGGACACGUGGACAGUUCUUCCAAAAAGUGGGAGAGUUGUGGCACCUGGAAGUGUCAGCUGCAAUUCCAGUCCCACAUGGCUCCGGGCCACUUAAUGAGAUCCCAGCCUUAUCAAAUGUGUUUUAUCUUCUAGAACUUAGGCCUUGUAACAGUCCCCACGAUGCUUUUCUAUAUUGUUAGAAAUUAGUCCUGGAGCUCUAGGUGAUCAUAAAAGGCAAGGACCAUUUGAGCCUAUCUUAUUGCUAAGCCUGCCCAUCCCUCCUUACCACCACAGUCAUUAUUAUACUUCUAAGACUGCAAAUUUGAUUGGGAUAUGGCUUGGUGGCAGAGUACUUGCCUACCAAGCAUGAAAUCCCAGUUCCAUAGAAAACAACACAUAAAAAAUACAAAUCUUACUUUGUUAAACCUAGCACACACCAUGCACAUACCACGUGUGCACGCGCGCACGCGCGCGCACACACACACACACACACACACUUCACACAUACUUCUCAUUUUCAUCUAAUUCACUCACUGGCAGAGGUUUCCACUCUCUUGGCUUCUCUGGACCACACUGGAUAAACUACUGUCUUAGGCCACACAUUAAAUCAAGCAGUUUACACCACAUGACCUGUGGGGUUGUGAGAACAUAUGCAUAUUAAUUUUAUGUGACAUAGUAAUGUGAGCUAUCCUGAUAUUCCCCUUCUUCCAUGAGGUACCCUGUGCCUUGGAGGGAGUGUUAUCAAUGUCCAAUCAAUGGUCACCAAUCUCUUAGAUGAUUGGGAUCAGUGGGAGGAAAACUGAGAGAACAAAUGAUCAAAAUGCAUCAUAUACAUGUAUGAAACUGUAAUAGUGCAUAAGUAGUCUAUUCUAAUUUAAAACAAAUUAAAAAGUAACUUCAAAAAAGGAUGGGCAAUUAUGUGUUCAUACUAGUCUGGGCUACUUGUCUUUUGUGAACUUGAUUUUCCUUGUUUUAAACUGAGCUGAUCCAGAUGGUCUAGAAGGCAUGUCUCUUUGACAAAAACUAUGUUAAUGUGAAUCACGUCACUUUAAGAUGCAGGGAGUUUCCCCCCUUUCCUUGUCAAAUGCUUGCCUGCUGGCAAGUGACUUCGGGCAAUUGGCUUGAACAUUACACUUCAACUGCAUACCUGUAACAUGGAAGUAAUCCCAAAUCCUGCCUCCUACCUCCUUUUGCCACCAGACCAUAUCCACCCUGAGUCAAUGGCUGUCAUUGGCCCCCUGCCCAGAUUCCACCAGCGGCUGUCCUCAUCCCCCAGCUAGUGUAAAAACUAGCUACUCAUGGCUCACUAUUAUCUUCUUGCACAAUUGACUCCGGGCUGAAUAAGAGUUGGCUAUGCUGCAGGGAUCCUCCUAGACCCCUGAACAGGGUCUGGCUAUCCUACAGGGAUCUUCCCAGACCACUGAACAGGAGAUACUGAUCCUCCAAGUAUCUUCCAAGACCACUGACUACCUCAGCCCAGUCACUAACUAAUUGACAUGGAAAUAUAGAAAGCUAAAUCUAUGUGAUGUGGGAAGCCCUUCUGUAUGAUGCAAACAUGUGUUACUUUUGUUGGUUGAUGAAUAAAGCUGAUUUGGUCAAUAGCCAGGCAGAAUAGAACCUGGUGGAAAAUCCAAACAGAGUUACAGAGAGAAAGAAGGUAGAGUCAGAGAGACACCACAUAACUGCCGAAGGGAUAAGAUGCCUCCACAUGCCACAGCCAUAUGUUGAUACACAGAUUAUUAAAAUAAAUGGGUUAAUUCAUAAGACAGAAAUAGCUAGCAAGAAGCCCGAGCCAUUGGCCACUUAUAUUUAAUAUUAGCCUCUGAGUGAUUGUUUCAUGAACAUCUGUAGAGAAAAAUCAGUCCAGGGGGACCAGUGGAAUAGAGAAAAAGUUCAGCUAUACCUAUGCUGCACCUUGGGUCCUGACUUAAGGAAGAAUCUCCCUCAGAGCUGCUUCCCAGGAAGCCAGUAAAGACACAAGCGAGGCACUUUUGCUCUGCACACAUCAUCUCCUGUGACAGCCAUCAAGCCCUGAUUGGUGCACUCUUAUGCUCAUUGUGUAGAUGAGAUACAACACUAAGAUAAUGAGAAACUUAUGUAAGCCAGAGUCUUACAAUGUCUCUGUCCUGGUAGUUCUGUGUCAACAUGACACAAGCUAAAGUCAUCUGAGAGGAAGAAGCCUCAACUGAGAAAAUGCGUCCAGAAGAAAAUGUAGGACAUUUUCUUAAUUAGUGGUUGAU